UAGAUGCGAGAGUAGAGCAUAUCAAUAAGCGGAGGAAAAGAAACUAACAAGGAUUCCCUUAGUAACGGCGAGUGAAGCGGGAAGAGCUCAAAUUUGAAAUCUUCAAGGUUCUACCUUGACGAAUUGUAGUUUAAAGAAGUGUUUUCUGUUAGAUGAGUAGCAAAAGUUCCUUGGAAUGGGACAUCAUAGAGGGUGAGAAUCCCGUAUUUGGUUAUUCAUUCUAGCUUUGUGAUACACUUUCAAAGAGUCGGAUUGUUUGGGAAUGCAGUCCAAAAUGGGUGGUAAAUUUCAUCUAAAGCUAAAUAUUGGCGAGAGACCGAUAGCGAACAAGUACCGUGAGGGAAAGAUGAAAAGAACUUUGAAAAGAGAGUUAAACAGUACGUGAAAUUGUCAAAAGGGAAGCGUUUGACACCAGUGUUGUUUUUCCGAAAAUCAAUUACGAAUGGCUUGAUUUUGUGUUGUAUUGACCUUAAUCAGCUUUCUUCACUUUUUUCGAGUCUUUCUUAAUGCACUUUUCGGUUAACAAGUCAACAUCAAUUUCUUUUGUUGUAAAAGAGUAUUCGGAAGGUGGCUUUCUUUUCGGAGAAAGUGUUUAUAGCCCUAUACUUCUACAAUCGGAGAGAUUGAGGUCUGCAGCGUAGAUCCUUCGGGGUUAGAUACACUUGUGCUAAGUUGUAGCUUUUCAUAGACAACUUGUUGACUAUGUUUAGUCAUGCGGCUUACUCGCUUGUGCUAUUUUACCUACGCUUAGGAUGUUGAGCGCAUGUCUCUCUCU
Molecule: ribosomal RNA, 775 nt
Filed under: uncultured Neocallimastigales
Lineage: Eukaryota; Fungi; Neocallimastigomycota; Neocallimastigomycetes; Neocallimastigales
Description: partial large subunit ribosomal RNA
Rfam family: Eukaryotic large subunit ribosomal RNA
Source: RNAcentral